CACGCCGUAAACGAUGGAUACUAGCUGUAGGGGGUAUCGACCCCUUCUGUAGCGAAGCUAACGCGUUAAGUAUCCCGCCUGUGGAGUACGGCCGCAAGGCUAAAACAUAAAGGAAUUGACGGGGACCCGCACAAGCGGUGGAUCGUGUUCUUUAAUUCGAUGAUAAACGGAGAACCUUACCAGGACUUGACAUCCUUGGAAUUUCUGCGAAAGCAGUUAGUGCCUUUUGGAACCAAGUGACAGGUGA
This 247-nucleotide ribosomal RNA is filed under the name uncultured Candidatus Saccharibacteria bacterium. RNAcentral describes it as "partial 16S ribosomal RNA". It matches the Rfam family "Bacterial small subunit ribosomal RNA", at positions 796 to 1041 of the family's 1533-position model. The record is from RNAcentral. Lineage: Bacteria; Candidatus Saccharimonadota.